This 4859-nucleotide long non-coding RNA is filed under the name Podarcis lilfordi (Lilford's wall lizard). The record is from RNAcentral. Lineage: Eukaryota; Metazoa; Chordata; Lepidosauria; Squamata; Lacertidae.
GUAGGAUAAACUGGGAUAGCAUCUGGCCCAGUGUCACCUUGUGACAGAGUGGGGACUUGAACCUGGUGUCCCAAGUCUCUUUGCUGUAAUCGCUACACUACCCUGUCAUUACACCUCUUGUAACUGUCAUGUUACAAGAAGGGUUGAAAAGUACUUGCACAAGCAAUUCCCCUUUUCACACUUUUGUCUUCAAAAUAUAUACGUAAAUGGUGUAUCUUUUAUUACAGGGAAAUGCAGUUUCCUCCUUAGUCACUAAAGGUCCAUGUUGUGUUAUGGAAUGCCUUUUACUGUACCUUGGGUUUAAGUUAGGGAUGAGCAAAGAUGUCAAUUUCCAUUUCUCCCAGUUUUUCCAACCUUAAGUUCAGUUCUCCACGUUUCCAAAUCAGUUUGUGAUUUUUCAAAAGUCCUUAUGAAAAUUCAUCAGCAUUUUGUUGAGAAUUAAUUCCUGACAUUUUUGUAUGCAGUUUUGCCUAAUAUAUGCAAUUUUACAAAACAAUUUCCACUAAUACAAUGCAUUUCCGUAUAUUCUUUCCACCAAUAUAUUUGUGUUUAUGCAUGCUCUACCCUUCUAUACACAGUUUUGUACACAUUACUUGACUGGAGAAGUGCAUUUCAAACUUUGGAGGAGGGAUGUCCAUUUCAGUUUGCUUAUUAUGUUGGAAAGUUCAACUUUUUGAAUUUCUCCUCCACCCCUAGUAACUUUGGAUCCUUUUCUUUUCUUUUCUUUUCCUUUUCUUUUCUUUUCUUUUCCUUCCCUUGUUUACUGUAUAAUUUUCACAAUCAGCCUCCAGGGACUGGAGUCCUUCCACAAAUAUAAAAUUGUGUUUUUAUUUCCAUUGGUUAAAAUAAAUGUGUAGAUAAUGUUGUUCACUUGGUUUGACAGUGAAUACUUGGAGGUACAAAAACUGCUGAAUGUGACUAGUGGCUAAAUGAAAACAUGUUGUGGUAGGCCAAGAGCAAUUCCUUUCUUAAUCAUCCCCCAAGGAGGUUUUGUAUAAUUUCAUGUGUUUGUUUUAAAGGAACUCUGUUUUAAAAGCAGUGGCACGCGUCUCUGUUUCCUUUUGCGCUUUUCUUUUCAGCAGAGAGGAUUUUCUGUCCAGGAGCUUGUCAAGAAAAUGUCAUGAGUGGGCCUUCUUGGGUUGGUGGUCAAGGUAAAAUACAUUACACUGUCGACAUCCAUUAAGGCCAGGAGAAAAUAAACCUCUGGAGGCAGAUCUUAGCUGUGUUCUUGAAGUUUAGAAGUCUGUUGAAGCACAAAAAAUUGAAUAUAUGCAGUUUUAGAGCGGGAGGAGAAGUGGAUGUCCUUUAUACACCUUCAUGUGUGCACAAUUGUUGAAACAGUUCCACAUGCUGGUCCUAAAGGAAUCAAAGAUUAGGACCUUUUGAUGUGAAGAGUAUUGUUUUGGUUGGCCCAAAACAUUUGGCUGCCUGAAGUAGAUGAACACACCCAUUCCAAGUUUAGAAGCUGACUGGACUAGGAGUUGAGUUUGCUUUCCAUGCUGGUAGGAGCACACCUGAGGAUAGUAGGUUUGCUUAGGAGUUGGGUAUGCUGCUUUAGACCAAAUCAGACCACUGGUCCAUCUAACUCAGUACCGUCCACACUGACUGGCAACAACUCCCCAGCGUCUCAGACAGGGGACAUUCUCAGCCCAGAUGUAGGGGACUGAACCUGGGAUUUUCUGUGUACAAGGCAGGUGCUCUGGCUGUCACCCUUCCCCAUCCAGCUUUGGAGAGAUGUAGGGCAGUCUGUGUGACACGCAAAGAAUCAACGCCUUGCUGCUGCCCCUCGUCUCUCUGCCAAAUGGUGGCCCAGUCCUCUUUUAGCCUCAGAAGCUGCUGAUGCUUUGUCUGCUCAGGAACACACACACACACACACACACACACACACACACAUUUUUGCAGCCCCAGAUUGACAGCAAAACAGAAAGCAAAGGUUUAUUGAGCUCUUGUGGGUCACAAGUUGCAGAGGCCUGCCUUUAGUACAGCAGUCUCUGCUUUCCCUUUAAAUGAUGGUUCUUAAUAUUAAAUGUGACUCUCUGAGGGCAUGUAAGCAGCGUGAAGCCACUUUUCUUUUGUGAACCAACCCCUCUUGCCAAUUGGCAGAGGGACCUUGCAUUCAUAACAAUAACAACUUACUGUUACAAAGUAUAUCCACUGGCAGUGUGUGUGAACUUGUGACGCAAAUAAGUUUUUCCUCUAUACGGAACCUUCCAUGCUCAUCCUCAACAUGCUGCUUUGAGUCUAGAUCCUUUCUACAACUGUGGUGGCUGCGGCUACAUGACACUUACGUGAAAACCCACCACAUACCGUAUUUUUCCAUGUAUAAGAUUUUUUUUACCAAAAAAUUAGGUUUAAAAUUGGGGCUCAUCUUAUACAUGGGUAGUGCUAAGGGGUGUUUUCUUAAUUUGGAGUCCCCCAAAAUAGGGGGCAUCUUAUACAUGGGGGCGUUUUAUACAUAGGAAAAUAUGGUAAUUAGGUUAUCCAUCCCUUUUUUGUCCCUGCACAUCCCCCAGGUGAAUGAAGAAGGAGAAAAGUAAUUGUGAUCUUGAGGCAGGAUUCAGCUCAUGAGUCCCAUCAGUGGAAGCCCUCCAUGGUGCAAUUUCACCUUUCCUCCUCCAUGCCCAUCUGAAAUUGACUAUGUGUGGGUCAGGAAAACUGCCAGAGUUGGGGAUCUGGUGAGCUAACAUGCAUGCCCAGACAGAACAAUCAACAGCAUGAUGUUGAAUUUCUCCCUUGGUAUUUGCACCCACCCACAACAUGGGUGUGGGGGUGCACCCCCUGUUGCUGGAAGCACAUCCACUCCUUCAGACACAAUGGUUGUAAUGUAGAAUCAACCUGCUCUGAUAUUUUAUUUCUGGAUUUAAACUAAUUUGUGAAAAAGCUCUUUUGGGGGGACAUGCAGUGGGUCUAGAUUGUAUGUGUGCGCGAAGCAACAAAAUCAAGAUGGCAGUGUACACUGAAUGUUGAAUAUAAUGUUGUGUGUGUGCAGCCCUGUGCUCUAACACCUACUGAUAGAACAACAAGCAAUCUGUAGUUCUGUUAUCUGUGUUUACAGGUGGCUUUUGUUUUACGAAAUGCAGCUGCUUAGAUUGCAAUUUCACAGGAAGGUGGCAAUGGUGGCGGUGAAACACAUUCAACCCCAGCCAUUUUCCUGCCCUCAAAUUGUCAGCUCCAGCUGCUUUUCCUCCAUCUGUAUCUUGGAGAUGGAGAACUUUUGCCUUGCACCCGUGUGGCACUAGAGCAUGUACCAACAAGCUUCCGACAGGAUUUGUGAUCCUAGACUGGCCUUUUCUGCGUAGUUCCAAAACUAGUUGUGUGCAGUCAAGUCCAUAUAGGCCUUUCUGACAACUUGGUGAUUUGCUGUUUUUGUUUGCUUGUAGUCGACUAAAGCUAAAAUGGAUUGAAACUUCCUUUGCAACAAGUGUGAGAUGCCCUUGAGAGUCUGAGAACAGAUGGAAACAGGGAGUCUUGAGCUUAAAUAAGAAUUACUGCUCUCAGAGCUGAAGGCACCUUUCUCAGCUACAGUUUAUGUAAGUGAUCAAGCCUGGAGCUGUUGCUAGGCUUUGAAACCUUCCAAGCAGAGUACAGAAUUUCAGAGCUUUAGGUGUAUGCGCAUAAGGAGCUUUGUGCCGUUAAAAAUGAUUGCGCCUUGUCCCAAAGUAGUGUCUAAAUGUGCUCACCUACUAUGUUAAAAUCCAUAAUGCAGAUCCCCUGCCAAACCACAAAGGGCUAAUGAAAGUGUUAAUAGAUGCACAUUUGAGAGCCUGAGUUCAGCUACCAGUCUAGCCGUGGGAUCCUGGAACCAUUCCUGUAGAAUGAAAGGGUAGCUUGGAGGAGGUGGGGAGGGAGUUUACAUUUCUGAAUCACCUUCCCUGCUUCACAUCAAAAACUUCCUGCAUGCAGUAAAGCUAGCACACCAGGGAAAGGCCUAUACUCAGCAAUAAUAAAUAAAAUAAAUUCUAAAAUACAUUUUCCCUUCGCAGGUACAGCCUGGGGUGGGGGGAUGAGUUCAGCAAAGUGGAAUAAGAACUUGUCUGUGCAUGGCACUGAUUGGCUGGUGUCUGUGACGUCAUUAAGAAAUUUUCCCAUCCUGGAAGAAGUUUGCAUGGGGAAGGGAAGUUGUGUUAUUCAGUGAAUUCAUGAUAAGUUAAUUGAUAAGCCUUUGUGUGGCAUUAAAAAAUAUAUGAAAUAAUAGAUGCCUGAAUUGUAUGGGAGAAGCGCUUAGCCGCUGCUCAGUUUGCUGCUUUGCAUGCCUGUCAUUUUGGUUGUGACACCAGGUCUUGCUGCAUGAGCUCUUUUUAAAAUAUUGCAUCUUUACACCCUCCUCCCAUAAAGUCCAAUAGACAUACUACACAUAUAAAGUCUUCUUUUAUGUGCAACAUCCAAAAGAAAUAUCCAAAAUAGUGACAGUUGUAACAGCGAUCAAAGGCAAUUAAGACGUUUCCCCUUGAUUUCCUGGUGUUUUGAGGAAGUUUGAUCUGGAACAGCCAAGGGUGGUGAACAGGAGGGAUUACUAAUUCAUUUACUAGAAAGCUGUGAUUUCCAAGAGGGAACUUGCCCAUUUCCAGGGAUUGUGCUAAAAGGAAGGGCAGGGGUAUUUUGGAAUUCCAAGCAAUUUCCUCCUUGUGUGGAUUAGCUUUCUUUCUGUUACGUCUACAUAGGCAGGCAUAUGGACUUCUCGAGUAUCGGAUUUCUUUCUCCUGCCUAGUUAAUUCAAAUCCGCCGUGUCGGUGAUUACUACUGAAAUGAGAAUCGCUUCCUUUGCAUUAAGUACUUUCAUUGAAGGCGGUAUUUUUUAUUGUUUAAAAAAGGAACAAUAAUAAUUUUCUCCAGGAGCAAAAUGGAGAAUAAUAUUUUUU